This 144-nucleotide ribosomal RNA is filed under the name uncultured Enterococcus sp. Its description in RNAcentral is "partial 16S ribosomal RNA". It matches the Rfam family "Bacterial small subunit ribosomal RNA", at positions 335 to 474 of the family's 1533-position model. The record is from RNAcentral. Lineage: Bacteria; Bacillati; Bacillota; Bacilli; Lactobacillales; Enterococcaceae.
ACUCCUACGGGAGGCAGCAGUAGCGAAUCUUCGGCAAUGGACGAAAGUCUGACCGAGCAACGCCGCGUGAGUGAAGAAGGUGUUCGGAUCGUAAACUCUGUUGUUAGAGAAGAACAAGGAUGAGAGUAACUGUCAUCCAUGACG